RNAcentral lists this ribosomal RNA (361 nucleotides) under uncultured Pelotomaculum sp. RNAcentral describes it as "bacterial SSU rRNA". It matches the Rfam family "Bacterial small subunit ribosomal RNA", at positions 1024 to 1382 of the family's 1533-position model. Lineage: Bacteria; Bacillati; Bacillota; Clostridia; Eubacteriales; Desulfotomaculaceae. The record is from RNAcentral.
UGACAGGGAGACAGGUGGUGCAUGGUUGUCGUCAGCUCGUGUCGUGAGAUGUUGGGUUAAGUCCCGCAACGAGCGCAACCCCUACGUUUAGUUGCUAACGCGUGAAGGCGAGCACUCUAGACGAACUGCCGUUGACAAAACGGAGGAAGGUGGGGAUGACGUCAAAUCAUCAUGCCCCUUAUGUUCUGGGCUACACACGUGCUACAAUGGCCGGUACAGACGGACGCAAAGCCGCGAGGUGGAGCAAAUCCUAAAAAGCCGGUCUCAGUUCGGAUUGAACAGGCUGCAAUUCGCCUGCAUGAAGUCGGAAUCGCUAGUAAUCGCAGGUCAGCAUACUGCGGUGAAUACGUUCCCGGGCCUU